Molecule: unclassified non-coding RNA, 352 nt
Filed under: soil metagenome
Description: partial contains 5.8S ribosomal RNA, internal transcribed spacer 2, and large subunit ribosomal RNA
Rfam family: 5.8S ribosomal RNA (bases 1-120)
Source: RNAcentral
GAUGAAGAACGCAGCGAAAUGCGAUAAGUAAUGUGAAUUGCAGAAUUCAGUGAAUCAUCGAAUCUUUGAACGCACAUUGCGCCCGCCAGUAUUCUGGCGGGCAUGCCUGUUCGAGCGUCAUUACAACCCUCAGGCCCCCGGGCCUGGCGUUGGGGAUCGGCGGAAGCCCCCUGUGGGCACACGCCGUCCCUCAAAUACAGUGGCGGUCCCGCCGCAGCUUCCAUUGCGUAGUAGCUAACACCUCGCAACUGGAGAGCGGCGCGGCCAUGCCGUAAAACACCCAACUUCUGAAUGUUGACCUCGAAUCAGGUAGGAAUACCCGCUGAACUUAAGCAUAUCGAUAAGCGGAGGA